This is a long non-coding RNA of Panicum virgatum (switchgrass), 3592 nucleotides long. RefSeq lists it as uncharacterized. The transcript is spliced from 2 exons. The record is from RefSeq and is a predicted model, not a curated record. Lineage: Eukaryota; Viridiplantae; Streptophyta; Magnoliopsida; Poales; Poaceae.
GCGACUGCUCCUCCGAUCCAUCCCCACUCGUUUUUCUUUUUCAGUUUUAUUAAUCUAAUGCGCGAGUACUAGUACCAGUAGUCCAUCCACCGGCCUUUCAGUGACUCUAACUAAACCUUAUCAUUAGCCUCUCUCUCUCUCCUCUUCUCCAUUAGUCCGUCCUUCACCUCGCUCCUCAGCUCCAUGUAUGGAGCGAGAGCUUUCCUAGCUAGCUGGCGCCUGCAACGAGGAAAACCAGCAGCAAGCAAGCAAGAUCCAGUAGCCUCCCACUCAUCAUACUAUCAUCCUAUCUAGGGUUUUGCUCUGGCUGCAGGCUCCUCGGCCGGCCCAGUCCUCAUCGAUCUGCUCCUUCAUUCUAACCGGCCAGCGGGGCCGCCCCGGCGGCGGCCGGCCGGCCUUAUAUAUACCUAGCUCUCUUGCUUGCCUAGAUCGAUCCAUGUAGCCAGCGCAGCCCGCACCCUUCCCAGCUCGAUCUCAUCACCUCCAUUAAUUAGCUUGUGCAACCAAAUGCCCCGGCACCUUAUCACCUUGUUCGAUUCAAUUCGCCUGCUAUAUGCUGCUACUUUCUCUCUCGAUAUAUAUAUAUAUACACGCGAGCGAGUGUAGAUCGAUCCUCGAUCUCACGCACAUCUCCAUCGACCCCCUUCUUUAAUUUGUCCGGCGGCGGCGACUACUGUGGUGGAGUACACUACACGUGUGGUCGGCGCGCGCGUGGAAAGAUAAACAGAUCGAUCGUGCGGUCCGGCCGGUUCUUGAUUCUUCGAUUCUCUGUUCUCUCUAUAUAUAUCUCGCUCUUCCCUUUAUUUUGAUCUUUUGAUAUAUACAUAUCCUUUCCUUCCUCAGAAUGAAGGCCGGCCGGUGUCUAAGUCUAAUUUGAUGCGUUCUUCUUCUUCGUUCUUCUUGAUUCAAAGCUCUCUACUAGCAGCUAGCUAGCUCCUCCUUCUCGUCUAUAUAUAUAUAGAUGUGGGGUCUUUCUUUCCCUCUCUGAUCUUCCCAGCUUAUUUGACGGGAUUAUUCAGAUAUUAUUAGUCAGAAGCAAGCAUGCACGCACAGAUCUCCCCAUCAUAUCUGUGAACACCUUAAUUAGCUUCCUGCCGGAUCCAUCACCUUAUCUUGGAACGAAGAUAGAAGAAGCUAGCUAGCAAACAGUCGGUGCUUGCAGGUGCAGCACCAUCAAGAUUCACAUCGUCAAACUCAUCUUCAGUUAUGCUGCGCUAUGGUUCGCACUUGCUAUAUUCAUGCUGCAUACCUGUUGAUCGAGAUGAGAAUCUUGAUGAUGCUGCAUCAGCAGACACUCACUCAUCACCUUGAAGCUAGCUAGGGUGAGAGGCGGAUCCGGUACGGUGCAGCAAUUGGGGACGACGAGUAUUUCCUUCUUUCUUUCUUUCUUUCUUUCUUUCUUUCUUUCUUUCUUUCUUUCUUUCUUUCAGUUGCUAUACAUAUCUUGCAUAAUAUUUUUCACUUGAGUUGAGUUAAUUAUAUAUUCCUCUGAUCUCUCUCUUUUUUUCAUACAUUUAAUUAAUUUGUUUUCAUCGGUCUUGCAAAUUAAAGCAAAACUUGUCUGCAGAAUCUUCCUAGCUAGUCUCCAUCAUGGAGAGGACGAAGUGUUUAUUUGCCUGAUGAUGUUGGGCCCGAAAAGAAGAAGUGCCGCCGCGCCGCAGCAGAUGUCUGCUUGUGAUCGAUUUGCCCUUUCCUCACUCACUCCAUUUCAAUUGAUGGCAUCGUCAGACACUCAUUCUCAAGGUUAAAUUCUUCCCUGCUUUGAUUUGCACGGCAGAAAGCAGCAUCAUGUGCACAUUUGCUGAUUUUGAAGAUAAUUUCCUUUGUUUGGAUCGAAGAAUAUGUGUCUGGACAUCAUUAAGCUUACACCGAGCUUAAAGGUUCUAGUUAAUUUGCGCAUAUAUAUAGUAUAAUCCAUGCAUGUAACCUAGGAGUAACUUUAUUUCAUUUGGUACAUCUUUGGUUAUCCAUAUAUCCUCCCUCAAGAUUAAUCCAGUACUAGCUAAUACUGGUAUAUAUAUAAGAUUGACCACAGCACACAUGCAUCCUAGUGGUAGCUAGAGACAGUCAUCAAACAUUAAUUAAUAAUCUAUCAAGCUAAUUAAUUACUAUAUAUAUGUAUAUGUAUUCAGAGAGUUUUGUUUCCUUAAUCAUUCUCUGUCAUCUAUAUACUUUAUUUCUUCUUGUCCCAAUGCAAACCCAAUGUGUGCCAACACUGCACUCGCGUCGGCAUCAUCAUCAUCUCUGAUUGACGUAGUACAGAUAUGCUGAUCUACAAAAUAUUCCCAAUCAUCAUUAGUUGAGAUGUUGUGUGUCACCCUAGCUAACUGCAUAUAUUCUCUUGUUGUAUCUGCACUCUCUGCUGCUACCUUAGACAUUAUAUUUGUACGCACUCCUAUCCAUUUAUUUCCUAUAUAAAGCCGGGUGCCAUCCAACAAAGACUGCAGGCAUACUCUUUGUUUGAGUAGCUAGUUAUAUAUGUAUAGACAGCAUAUGCUUGCGCCCUUAUUUGUUUCUCUGAUGCUUGCAACCAAAGUGCAGGCAUCUUAUCUCCCUCAUCAGAGCCUGUGUGUAGCCUGCUUUAUUUUUUCUUAAUAUGUGUAGUCAUCGAUCGUAAGCUUAAUCGUCGUUCCUGGUAAUAGAUGCAUGCUGAAUUAAAUAUGAGUAUAUAACAAUAAUAGUGCACUGAUGACCAUCCAAUAAGUUUAAUUCUCCAAGAUUUGUGUGUGAUCGAAAUUUAAGAUGGAAGGUAUAUCUUGUGGGGUGUGUGUGUGUGUAUUUUAUUUAAAAUCUCCUCUGAUAAAUAUAUGUGGUGUUGAUGAGUUCGUCAUGCAGUGGUUGGUUGUAUGUGAAAUCUCAAGGGUGGUCCACUGCGACUACCAAAACUGCAUGCACGCAGCAGCAGCCAUGAUAUCAUGAGGAAGAAGAGAAUACACACAACAUAUACCGGCCGGCCGGCCGGGAAGCAAGAAGGGGCAUAUGAUUCAGCAACAGCAGUGGCAGUUGAUGAUGAUGUACAUGAUCGAUGAAGAAAUGAGCAGUGCCUGUGCCUGUGCCUGUGCCUGGGCCUGGAUAGAGAAUAGAGAGAUGCAUGCUAGCUAGCUGCUGCUUCAACUUGUUGGAGUGGACCAUUGCAUUGCAUUGCAUAGACGAUGCAUGGAUCGAUCAUAUCGGUCCAUCUCGACGGGAUGCAGAGUCAGGCAAGGUGGUGGUACGUACGCAGUACAUUGCUAUUAUUGUGCCAAAGGAAGGGGACCAAUAUACACAUAAUGCACACACCAGAGCCGCUGCUGCAAGGUGAGGGACAAACCUUGCAGACGCUGGGGGUGCUGGUACAACGUACUACUGCUUACUGGACCAACAAUGCAAACUAAAGGUGAAAAAUUUCAACUCACCUUACCUAUUACUUUUGCCUUUCUGCAGGCUGCAAACUGCAGGUCUUUGUGUGUUUGUGUUCUCCCUUUAUACUGGGUCGGAUAUGUACAUCUUUAAUAGUUUCAGUUCACACUGUAUGCAUCCAUGAUCGAUCUGUAUAUAUCUGUAAAGCUUGCAAAUUGGAUUGCCACAGUCCUGUGAUGGUCCACCUACUUAA